GGAAGAUGCUACCUAAGGGAAGGUAACCAAGCUUGAAACUUGGAGUACAGUUAAAUGUAGGGGUUCGAUUCCUCCAUCUUCCG
RNAcentral lists this transfer RNA (83 nucleotides) under Tolypothrix sp. PCC 7910. Its description in RNAcentral is "tRNA-Ser". It matches the Rfam family "tRNA". Rfam says of the family: Transfer RNA (tRNA) molecules are approximately 80 nucleotides in length. Their secondary structure includes four short double-helical elements and three loops (D, anti-codon, and T loops). Lineage: Bacteria; Bacillati; Cyanobacteriota; Cyanophyceae; Nostocales; Tolypothrichaceae. The record is from RNAcentral.